RNAcentral lists this ribosomal RNA (464 nucleotides) under uncultured bacterium. Its description in RNAcentral is "bacterial SSU rRNA". It matches the Rfam family "Bacterial small subunit ribosomal RNA", at positions 199 to 644 of the family's 1533-position model. The record is from RNAcentral.
GGAGGAAGCAGGGGAUCGCAAGACCUUGCGCUUUUGGAGCGGCCGAUGCCUGAUUAGCUUGUUGGUGAGGUAAAAGCUCACCAAGGCUCCGAUCAGUAGCUGGUCUGAGAGGACGACCAGCCACACUGGGACUGAGACACGGCCCAGACUCCUACGGGAGGCAGCAGUGGGGAAUUUUGGACAAUGGGGGCAACCCUGAUCCAGCCAUGCCGCGUGAGUGAAGAAGGCCUUCGGGUUGUAAAGCUCUUUCAGCCGGAACGAAACGGUCACGGUUAAUACCCGUGACUACUGACGGUACCGGAAGAAGAAGCACCGGCUAACUACGAGCCAGCAGCCGCGGUAAUACGUAGGGUGCGAGCGUUAAUCGGAAUUACUGGGCGUAAAGCGUGCGCAGGCGGUUUUGUAAGUCAGAUGUGAAAUCCCCGGGCUUAACCUGGGAACUGCGUUUGAAACUACAAAGCUAG